This 520-nucleotide ribosomal RNA is filed under the name uncultured bacterium. Its description in RNAcentral is "bacterial SSU rRNA". It matches the Rfam family "Bacterial small subunit ribosomal RNA", at positions 8 to 518 of the family's 1533-position model. The record is from RNAcentral.
AGAGUUUGAUCCUGGCUCAGGAUGAACGCUAGCUACAGGCUUAACACAUGCAAGUCGAGGGGCAGCAUAUCAAAAGCUUGCUUCUGAUGAUGGCGACCGGCGCACGGGUGAGUAACGCGUAUCCAACCUUCCCUAUACUAGAGGAUAGCCCGGCGAAAGUCGGAUUAAUACUCUAUGUUCUUCGUAGAAGACAUCUGAAAUGAAGCAAGGGUUUACCGGUAUAGGAUGGGGAUGCGUCUGAUUAGGUUGUUGGCGGGGUAACGGCCCACCAAGCCCACGAUCAGUAGGGGUUCUGAGAGGAAGGUCCCCCACAUUGGAACUGAGACACGGUCCAAACUCCUACGGGAGGCAGCAGUGAGGAAUAUUGGUCAAUGGACGAGAGUCUGAACCAGCCAAGUAGCGUGCAGGAUGACGGCCCUAUGGGUUGUAAACUGCUUUUAUACAGGGAUAAAGUGACGUACGUGUACGUUUUGUAGGUACUGUAUGAAUAAGGACCGGCUAAUUCCGUGCCAGCCGCUGC